GAUGCCACGGACUAGGAAGAGUGCGAGGAGGAGAACAGUGGUCUGCGAGUUCUCCGGUUGUCAAACUGUCGCUGAGGGUUCCCGUCGCCUUAAAGGAGGCUCGAGGGAGAAUUCCUUCAACAACAGGGGUUUAAUAACGGGAACAACCGGUGAGGGCAUUCCGCUUGAGAAUUUUGGAGUAGCUGAACGGGGCGACAUCGAUCGAGGGGGCAG
This 213-nucleotide long non-coding RNA is filed under the name Elaeis guineensis (African oil palm). RNAcentral's name for it is "long non-coding RNA (EGUI_LNC042311)". The record is from RNAcentral. Lineage: Eukaryota; Viridiplantae; Streptophyta; Magnoliopsida; Arecales; Arecaceae.